RNAcentral lists this ribosomal RNA (301 nucleotides) under uncultured bacterium. Its description in RNAcentral is "partial 16S ribosomal RNA". It matches the Rfam family "Bacterial small subunit ribosomal RNA", at positions 509 to 808 of the family's 1533-position model. The record is from RNAcentral.
CAGCCGCCGCGGGAAUACGUAGGUCCCGAGCGUUGUCCGGAUUUAUUGGGCGUAAAGCGAGCGCAGGCGGUUAGAUAAGUCUGAAGUUAAAGGCUGUGGCUUAACCAUAGUACGCUUUGGAAACUGUUUAACUUGAGUGCAAGAGGGGAGAGUGGAACUCCAUGUGUAGCGGUGAAAUGCGUAGAUAUAUGGAGGAACACCGGUGGCGAAAGCGGCUCUCUGGCUUGUAACUGACGCUGAGGCUCGAAAGCGUGGGGAGCAAACAGGAUUAGAUACCCCAGUAGUCCCUGUCUCUUAUACC